This 96-nucleotide small nuclear RNA is filed under the name Cricetulus griseus (Chinese hamster). The record is from RNAcentral. Lineage: Eukaryota; Metazoa; Chordata; Mammalia; Rodentia; Cricetidae.
AAAAAUAUGGAACGCUUCAUGAAUUUGCAUGUCAUCCUUGUGCUAAUCUUCUCUGUAUCGUUUCAAUUUUAGUAUAUGUGCUGCCGAAGGGAGCAC